ACCUACUUAUUUUACACAUUUGUCCUAGACUUCAUCCCAAAUAACCCUAGAAGAAGCCACUUGUUAUGGAGCAAAAUGGGCCGAUGGCUUGAAUUAUCCCUCCACUGAGGAAGAAACUAUCCUAAGAAGGCUGCAUAAAGUACUUCCUGGUUGAAAGGGCUCUGGCGUCAGCGUCUUGAAUUUGAAUCCCAACUCUGAAAUGUAUCAGUUUGCGACCUUAACUGUGGUCACAUGACACAAGAGCAAGUCAAGAUAUAUUCAAGGAACCACCUAGAAGUUCCUCUGCUCAGAAGGAACCAGGAUCCUGGCAGUCCCUGGAUCCACAAAAAAAGGCCAAAAGUUCAGGGGUUCUCAGAAGUGAGAUGGUUCUCCCUCUCUGCAAGGCAUUCAACUGACCCUGAUCCAGUGUCAUUCCACGGGGAAAACUGGAACACUGGGGAGUUGGUGCUUUUCUCUUUUGCCUCUUACUUACAUUUCUGCAGUACAGUUAAGUCCCCUACAUACGAACCUUCAAGAUGUGAACUUUCAAAGAACAAACGUGCAUUCCCAUGUCCAAUCACGUAAGUUAGUUCAUGUUUCUG
Molecule: long non-coding RNA, 581 nt
Filed under: Balaenoptera musculus (blue whale)
Lineage: Eukaryota; Metazoa; Chordata; Mammalia; Artiodactyla; Balaenopteridae
Description: lncRNA (ENSBMSG00010000465.1)
Source: RNAcentral